Molecule: ribosomal RNA, 497 nt
Filed under: uncultured bacterium
Lineage: Bacteria
Description: partial 16S ribosomal RNA
Rfam family: Bacterial small subunit ribosomal RNA
Source: RNAcentral
GAUGAACGCUGGCGGCGUGCCUAAUACAUGCAAGUCGAGCGAACGGACGAGAAGCUUGCUUCUCUGAUGUUAGCGGCGGACGGGUGAGUAACACGUGGAUAACCUACCUAUAAGACUGGGAUAACUUCGGGAAACCGGAGCUAAUACCGGAUAAUAUUUUGAACCGCAUGGUUCAAAAGUGAAGGACGGUCUUGCUGUCACUUAUAGAUGGAUCCGCGCUGCAUUAGCUAGUUGGUAAGGUAACGGCUUACCAAGGCAACGAUGCAUAGCCGACCUGAGAGGGUGAUCGGCCACACUGGAACUGAGACACGGUCCAGACUCCUACGGGAGGCAGCAGUAGGGAAUCUUCCGCAAUGGGCGAAAGCCUGACGGAGCAACGCCGCGUGAGUGAUGAAGGUCUUCGGAUCGUAAAACUCUGUUAUUAGGGAAGAACAUAUGUGUAAGUAACCGUGCACAUCUUGACGGUACCUAAUCAGAAAGCCACGGCUAACUACGUG